Penaeus chinensis is the source of this 725-nucleotide long non-coding RNA. RefSeq lists it as uncharacterized. The record is from RefSeq and is a predicted model, not a curated record. NCBI's taxonomy places the organism in Eukaryota, Metazoa, Arthropoda, Malacostraca, Decapoda, Penaeidae. The transcript is spliced from 4 exons.
AAUUACUUCCUUAUCUUUAAGCUCUGACGGGCCACACCCUGGGCCUGCCUUUGACCCCGGGCCGCACUUUUGACUUCCAGUGGGCUGUUGUCACGCUGGUUUAUGUAAGGCCCGACGGCAGGGUUAUGCCACCCAAUUCUCAAGGUGAGCGAUUCUACACUUCCAAGACCUGCAUUUCAAGGAGUGCGAGCCGGCGGUUCCGGGACGGGCGCCCACACGCCGCAGCGAUCUCCCUCGCCUCCUCCCUCCGCCUCACCUUGAUGCACCGCGCUGGACAUCGGAAGGGCUGUAGCGUCCCCAAAUAAGAAGCGGCCUAAGGCACGUAGGAUGCACUCGGGAAGCCGUAAAAACUAGUGGAGGGAAGGCCACGCCGGCCGCCGCAGGGGAAUGGCGGGAUCUCCUGCUAGGAAGAAGCGCGUCGACCGCCAGGUGUUCUCGCUUCUUUCGGCCGCAUUGCUGCCGCAUCCGGAAAGAUAUCCUUUUCCUUGAUGCGCGAAGAAGGAUAACUCUUCACCUUUCUUUAGAACAUUUAUUCUCUUUCAUGCUGAUUCCAUCUCCAUGUUCUUUGUUGUGCUACUCAAGAUGCGAGUUCUGCAUCUGCAUGUACAUCUAUUUUCGAUCGUGAGGAGAUGUGUGCGUACAUAUGUGAUGUACGUACAUAAAGAACCUAGAGUGCCCGGGGGUGGGACAAGGGGCAAGGUCAAGUGGAGGGCGGCAGUACCCAG